GCGAAUGGUGGAUGCCUUGACUGGUAAAGGCGAUGAAGGACGUACUAGACUGCGAUAAGCUACGGGGAGCUGUCAAGAAGCUUUGAUCCGUAGAUUUCCGAAUGGGGCAACCCAAUGUAUAGAGAUAUACAUUACCUAUAUAGGAGCGAACGAGGGGAAUUGAAACAUCUUAGUACCCUCAGGAAAAGAAAUCAAUAGAGAUUGCGUCAGUAGCGGCGAGCGAAAGCGCAAGAGGGCAAACCCAGUGCUUGCACUGGGGGUUGUAGGACUGCAAUGUGCAAGAGCUGAGUUUAGCAGAACAUUCUGGAAAGUAUAGCCAUAGAGGGUGAUAGUCCCGUAUGCGAAAAACAAAGCUUAGCUAGCAGUAUCCUGAGUAGGGCGGGACACGAGAAAUCCUGUCUGAAUCCGGGUCGACCACGAUCCAACCCUAAAUACUAAUACCAGAUCGAUAGUGCACAAGUACCGUGAGGGAAAGGUGAAAAGAACUGAGGUGAUCAGAGUGAAAUAGAACCUGAAACCAUUUGCUUACAAUCAUUCAGAGCACUAUGUAGCAAUACAGUGUGAUGGACUGCCUUUUGCAUAAUGAGCCUGCGAGUUGUGGUGUCUGGCAAGGUUAAGCAAACGCGAAGCCGUAGCGAAAGCGAGUCUGAAUAGGGCGCUUAGUCAGAUGCUGCAGACCCGAAACGAAGUGAUCUAUCCAUGAGCAAGUUGAAGCUAGUGUAAGAACUAGUGGAGGACUGAACCCAUAGGCGUUGAAAAGCCCCGGGAUGACUUGUGGAUAGGGGUGAAAGGCCAAUCAAACUUCGUGAUAGCUGGUUCUCUCCGAAAUAUAUUUAGGUAUAGCGUUGUGUCGUAAUAUAAGGGGGUAGAGCACUGAAUGGGCUAGGGCAUACACCAAUGUACCAAACCCUAUCAAACUCCGAAUACCUUAUAUGUAAUCACAGCAGUCAGGCGGCGAGUGAUAAAAUCCGUCGUCAAGAGGGAAACAACCCAGACUACCAGCUAAGGUCCCUAAAUCUUACUUAAGUGGAAAACGAUGUGAAGUUACUUAAACAACCAGGAGGUUGGCUUAGAAGCAGCCAUCCUUUAAAGAAAGCGUAAUAGCUCACUGGUCUAGUGAUUUUGCGCGGAAAAUAUAACGGGGCUAAAGU
This 1151-nucleotide ribosomal RNA is filed under the name Campylobacter jejuni. RNAcentral describes it as "partial 23S ribosomal RNA". It matches the Rfam family "Bacterial large subunit ribosomal RNA", at positions 17 to 1188 of the family's 2925-position model. The record is from RNAcentral. Lineage: Bacteria; Pseudomonadati; Campylobacterota; Epsilonproteobacteria; Campylobacterales; Campylobacteraceae.